UACGGAGGAUGCAAGCGUUAUCCGGAAUUAUUGGGCGUAAAGCGUCCGCAGGUGGUUGUGCAAGUCUGCCGUCAAAGCCAGUGGCUUAACUACUGAAAGGCGGUGGAAACUGCACGACUAGAGUGUGGUAGGGGCAGAGGGGAUUCCCGGUGUAGCGGUGAAAUGCGUAGAGAUCGGGAAGAACACCAGUGGCGAAAGCGCUCUGCUGGACCGCAACUGACACUCAUGGACGAAAGCUAGGGGAGCGAAUGGG
RNAcentral lists this ribosomal RNA (253 nucleotides) under uncultured bacterium. RNAcentral's name for it is "partial 16S ribosomal RNA". It matches the Rfam family "Bacterial small subunit ribosomal RNA", at positions 524 to 776 of the family's 1533-position model. The record is from RNAcentral.